RNAcentral lists this ribosomal RNA (2747 nucleotides) under Klebsiella pneumoniae. RNAcentral describes it as "23S ribosomal RNA". It matches the Rfam family "Bacterial large subunit ribosomal RNA". Lineage: Bacteria; Pseudomonadati; Pseudomonadota; Gammaproteobacteria; Enterobacterales; Enterobacteriaceae. The record is from RNAcentral.
CACUAUCGUUAACUGAAUACAUAGGUUAACGAGGCGAACCGGGGGAACUGAAACAUCUAAGUACCCCGAGGAAAAGAAAUCAACCGAGAUUCCCCCAGUAGCGGCGAGCGAACGGGGAGCAGCCCAGAGUCUGAAUCAGCUUGUGUGUUAGUGGAACGGUCUGGAAAGUCCGACGGUACAGGGUGAUAGUCCCGUACACCAAAAUGCACAGGCUGUGAACUCGAAGAGUAGGGCGGGACACGUGGUAUCCUGUCUGAAUAUGGGGGGACCAUCCUCCAAGGCUAAAUACUCCUGACUGACCGAUAGUGAACCAGUACCGUGAGGGAAAGGCGAAAAGAACCCCGGCGAGGGGAGUGAAAAAGAACCUGAAACCGUGUACGUACAAGCAGUGGGAGCACCUUCGGGUGUGACUGCGUACCUUUUGUAUAAUGGGUCAGCGACUUAUAUUCUGUAGCAAGGUUAACCGUAUAGGGGAGCCGCAGGGAAACCGAGUCUUAACUGGGCGUUAAGUUGCAGGGUAUAGACCCGAAACCCGGUGAUCUAGCCAUGGGCAGGUUGAAGGUUGGGUAACACUAACUGGAGGACCGAACCGACUAAUGUUGAAAAAUUAGCGGAUGACUUGUGGCUGGGGGUGAAAGGCCAAUCAAACCGGGAGAUAGCUGGUUCUCCCCGAAAGCUAUUUAGGUAGCGCCUCGUGAACUCAUCUUCGGGGGUAGAGCACUGUUUCGGCUAGGGGGUCAUCCCGACUUACCAACCCGAUGCAAACUACGAAUACCGAAGAAUGUUAUCACGGGAGACACACGGCGGGUGCUAACGUCCGUCGUGAAGAGGGAAACAACCCAGACCGCCAGCUAAGGUCCCAAAGUCAUGGUUAAGUGGGAAACGAUGUGGGAAGGCACAGACAGCCAGGAUGUUGGCUUAGAAGCAGCCAUCAUUUAAAGAAAGCGUAAUAGCUCACUGGUCGAGUCGGCCUGCGCGGAAGAUGUAACGGGGCUAAACCAUGCACCGAAGCUGCGGCAGCGACACUAUGUGUUGUUGGGUAGGGGAGCGUUCUGUAAGCCUGCGAAGGUGNUGCUGGAGGUAUCAGAAGUGCGAAUGCUGACAUAAGUAACGAUAAAGCGGGUGAAAAGCCCGCUCGCCGGAAGACCAAGGGUUCCUGUCCAACGUUAAUCGGGGCAGGGUGAGUCGACCCCUAAGGCGAGGCCGAAAGGCGUAGUCGAUGGGAAACAGGUUAAUAUUCCUGUACUUGGUGUUACUGCGAAGGGGGGACGGAGAAGGCUAUGUUAGCCGGGCGACGGUUGUCCCGGUUUAAGCAUGUAGGCUGGUUGUCCAGGCAAAUCCGGAUAAUCAAGGCUGAGGUGUGAUGACGAGGCACUACGGUGCUGAAGUAACAAAUGCCCUGCUUCCAGGAAAAGCCUCUAAGCAUCAGGUAACAUCAAAUCGUACCCCAAACCGACACAGGUGGUCAGGUAGAGAAUACCAAGGCGCUUGAGAGAACUCGGGUGAAGGAACUAGGCAAAAUGGUGCCGUAACUUCGGGAGAAGGCACGCUGGUGUGUAGGUGAAGUCCCUGCGGAUGGAGCUGAGACCAGUCGAAGAUACCAGCUGGCUGCAACUGUUUAUUAAAAACACAGCACUGUGCAAACACGAAAGUGGACGUAUACGGUGUGACGCCUGCCCGGUGCCGGAAGGUUAAUUGAUGGGGUUAUCCGUAAGGAGAAGCUCUUGAUCGAAGCCCCGGUAAACGGCGGCCGUAACUAUAACGGUCCUAAGGUAGCGAAAUUCCUUGUCGGGUAAGUUCCGACCUGCACGAAUGGCGUAAUGAUGGCCAGGCUGUCUCCACCCGAGACUCAGUGAAAUUGAACUCGCUGUGAAGAUGCAGUGUACCCGCGGCAAGACGGAAAGACCCCGUGAACCUUUACUAUAGCUUGACACUGAACAUUGAGCCUUGAUGUGUAGGAUAGGUGGGAGGCUUUGAAGCGUGGACGCCAGUCUGCGUGGAGCCAACCUUGAAAUACCACCCUUUAAUGUUUGAUGUUCUAACGUUGGCCCCUGACCGGGGUUGCGGACAGUGUCUGGUGGGUAGUUUGACUGGGGCGGUCUCCUCCCAAAGCGUAACGGAGGAGCACGAAGGUUAGCUAAUCCUGGUCGGACAUCAGGAGGUUAGUGCAAUGGCAUAAGCUAGCUUGACUGCGAGCGUGACGGCGCGAGCAGGUGCGAAAGCAGGUCAUAGUGAUCCGGUGGUUCUGAAUGGAAGGGCCAUCGCUCAACGGAUAAAAGGUACUCCGGGGAUAACAGGCUGAUACCGCCCAAGAGUUCAUAUCGACGGCGGUGUUUGGCACCUCGAUGUCGGCUCAUCACAUCCUGGGGCUGAAGUAGGUCCCAAGGGUAUGGCUGUUCGCCAUUUAAAGUGGUACGCGAGCUGGGUUUAGAACGUCGUGAGACAGUUCGGUCCCUAUCUGCCGUGGGCGCUGGAGAAUUGAGGGGGGCUGCUCCUAGUACGAGAGGACCGGAGUGGACGCAUCACUGGUGUUCGGGUUGUCAUGCCAAUGGCACUGCCCGGUAGCUAAAUGCGGAAGAGAUAAGUGCUGAAAGCAUCUAAGCACGAAACUUGCCCCGAGAUGAGUUCUCCCUGAGACUUUAAGUCUCCUGAAGGAACGUUGAAGACGACGACGUUGAUAGGCCGGGUGUGUAAGCGCAGCGAUGCGUUGAGCUAACCGGUACUAAUGAACCGUGAGGCUUAACCUU